RNAcentral lists this ribosomal RNA (462 nucleotides) under uncultured bacterium. RNAcentral's name for it is "bacterial SSU rRNA". It matches the Rfam family "Bacterial small subunit ribosomal RNA", at positions 30 to 475 of the family's 1533-position model. The record is from RNAcentral.
UUCCCNGACGCNGGCGGCGUGCCUAACACAUGCANGUCGAACGAGAAAGCUUUAGCUUGCUAGAGCGAGUAAAGUGGCGCACGGGUGAGUAACGCGUGGGUAAUCUGCCCUUGAAUUUGGGAUAACACUUCGAAAGGAGUGCUAAUACCGGAUAACAUCUUUUUCAUUGCGGUGAGAGAGAUCAAAGAUAGCCUCUUCAUGAAAGCUAUUGUUUGGGGAUGAGCCCGCGUACCAUUAGCUUGUUGGUGGGGUAAAGGCCUACCAAGGCGACGAUGGUUAGCUGGUCUGAGAGGAUGAUCAGCCACACUGGAGCUGGAACACGGUCCAGACUCCUACGGGAGGCAGCAGUGAGGAAUUUUGCGCAAUGGGCGAAAGCCUGACGCACAACGCCCGUGAGUGAUAAGGAUUUCNGUUCNUAAACUCUGUCAANUGGGAAAANUUAUCAUAUUUAAUANUAUAUGG